This 368-nucleotide unclassified non-coding RNA is filed under the name Acacia podalyriifolia. RNAcentral describes it as "partial external transcribed spacer". Lineage: Eukaryota; Viridiplantae; Streptophyta; Magnoliopsida; Fabales; Fabaceae. The record is from RNAcentral.
CUCGUGCCGUAACCGAACGGUCGGCAGGCGAUCCGCGUCGGUCGCGCUGGGUGGUAUGGUUCCCCAGAGGCCGGUUCUUGUGCUGCCUACCCCUUCAGGGGAAGAGUUCCAAACUCGAUGUAAGCCUCCAUCCGGCGCCCUCCAAAGGGCGCGGGAGGACAACGGAGCACCCCCCGCGUUCCACCGAGCCUCCUCGGUCGCGUGGCCCGCGGGGACGUGCGAUGCUCUCGGACCCAGCGAACGCCGUGGGCGAGGACUCACGUCCCGGUCCCAAGUGAAGCAACGGUAUAACGCCGACGGCCGCUCCCGCCCCCCGACCGCCCCGGCGGCGCGGGGCGAAGGCGCGGCGUCGCUGAGGAAUGCUACCU